UAUUUUCCCAAGCCUAAAUUCAGAGAUCACACCAAUCCUGGCCCACCGGGGAGAAUGAGAGAAGAUACUUGGACAGCAGUGGCCAGCGUUUUCUCAGGCACUGACUCUAAGUGUGAUCUCCUCAGAGCCUGUCUCAUGUGGAGAAGGACACUUAGAUUCCCCCAACUCACAUGAGGAGAGGGUAGAGAAAGUUCAGAUGCAUCCAGAAAGAAAACUCGGCAGAGGAUCUGAGUUAAGAUGUUGUCUGAAGACUGAACCGGGAAGACAGUGGACUUUCUCCGCGGUAAAGAGCAAAACUUCAGCUUAAAAGGAUUUGCUUGCUUUCUUUGGCUAUUACCUUCUACCUGACUUACCACCGAAGUGAAGUUAGACCUACAGAGGAGACGUUAAAUCAGAAAUGUCUCUACACUGAUAGCAAAUCUCUGCAAUAAUGCUAACAAGCCGCAAGACCUGAUUUUUCACCUAUCCUGGUAUUAUGCUGAUGUCAUCUAAUUGAUUUCAAUGGAUUACUCUGGUCAACCUAGUGUCAGGCUCAGAGGCUAUACAUCUCUGUCUGCUUACGAAGAGUUGCUACUGCUGUCUAAGCCCUGGAAUAAGGAGCUGAUCUCAGACCCUGUCUGUGCUGAACUGCUAAGAAGAGGAAGAGAAGAGAGAGAAGCCUCCAGGUUUUGUAGACUGGGUUUAUAGGAGACUUAGUAGGAAAUAUGUGGCCAUAGCACUCUGCUCCUUCACCACAGACUCUUGGAAGACUGUUCGUUUUCCUCAUCCCCAAAAAUGAAGGAUUAAUUUGGAUGACAACAAUGGUGGUUUUAGUGCAACACGUAGAAUUAAAAAAAGCAGUCUGGCAGAAGAUCUGAGAAGCAGAAGGUGAAAAUAAAUAAAAUGGAGCAGUGAAGAAUGCAGAAAGAAACAGAAAGUGUUCAAAGGCAUGUAAACAUGAUGAGGGCUGGAGCCAAAUUCAUGUACAAACAACAAAGGAAGGAAGAACUUACUUAGUGAGUCCACCCAAAAUCCUGCUCAUGAAGAGGAGAGGGUUGGUGUUUCCAGUGCA
Molecule: long non-coding RNA, 1051 nt
Organism: Struthio camelus australis
Lineage: Eukaryota; Metazoa; Chordata; Aves; Struthioniformes; Struthionidae
Source: RefSeq, a predicted model, not a curated record